This 435-nucleotide ribosomal RNA is filed under the name uncultured bacterium. Its description in RNAcentral is "bacterial SSU rRNA". It matches the Rfam family "Bacterial small subunit ribosomal RNA", at positions 30 to 486 of the family's 1533-position model. The record is from RNAcentral.
AUUGAACGCUGGCGGCAUGCCUUACACAUGCAAGUCGAACGGCAGCGCGGGGCAACCUGGCGGCGAGUGGCGAACGGGUGAGUAACAUAUCGGAACAUACCCUAGAGUGGGGAUAACGUAGCGAAAGUUACGCUAAUACCGCAUACGCACUAAGGUGGAAAGUGGGGGAUUCGCAAGAACCUCAUGCUCAUGGAGUGGCCGAUAUCUGAUUAGCUAGUUGGUGAGGUAAAGGCUCACCAAGGCGACGAUCAGUAGCUGGUUUGAGAGAACGACCAGCCACACUGGAACUGAGACACGGUCCAGACUCCUACGGGAGGCAGCAGUGGGGAAUUUGGACAAUGGGGGCAACCCUGAUCCAGCAAUGCCGCGUGAGUGAAGAAGGCCUUCGGGUUGUAAAGCUCUUUGUCAGGGAAGAUAAUGACAGUACCUGGAGAA